GAUGAACGCUCGCUACAGGCUUAACACAUGCAAGUCGCGGGGCAGCAUGGGGGUUGCUUGCCCUCCCCGAUGGCGACCGGCGCACGGGUGAGUAACGCGUAUCCAACCUGCCCUUCACCACGGGCUAACCCGGCGAAAGUCGGACUAAUACCGUAUGUUGUCCAUUGACGGCAUCCGAUUUGGACGAAAGGCGUGGGGGUGAGGGAUGGGGAUGCGUGCGAUUAGCCGGACGGCGGGGUAACGGCCCACCGUGGCUACGAUCGGUAGGGGUUCUGAGAGGAAGGUCCCCCACACUGGAACUGAGACACGGUCCAGACUCCUACGGGAGGCAGCAGUGAGGAAUAUUGGUCAAUGGGCGUAAGCCUGAACCAGCCAAGUAGCGUGCAGGAUGACGGCCCUAUGGGUUGUAAACUGCUUUUAUGCGGGGAUAAAGUGGCCCACGUGUGGGCUUUUGCAGGUACCGCAUGAAUAAGGACCGGCUAAUUCCGUG
Molecule: ribosomal RNA, 490 nt
Filed under: uncultured bacterium
Lineage: Bacteria
Description: partial 16S ribosomal RNA
Rfam family: Bacterial small subunit ribosomal RNA
Source: RNAcentral